AGGCGACGAAGUGGUUGAUACCAUGCUUCCAAGAAAAGCUCCUAAGCUUCAGAUAACUGGGAACCGUACCCCAAACCGACACAGGUGGUUAGGUAGAGAAUACCAAGGCGCUUGAGAGAACUCGGGUGAAGGAACUAGGCAAAAUGGCACCGUAACUUCGGGAGAAGGUGCGCCGGCGAGGGUGAAGGACUUGCUCCGUAAGCCCAUGCCGGUCGAAGAUACCAGGCCGCUGCGACUGUUUAUUAAAAACACAGCACUCUGCAAACACGAAAGUGGACGUAUAGGGUGUGACGCCUGCCCGGUGCCGGAAGGUUAAUUGAUGGGGUUAGCGCAAGCGAAGCUCUUGAUCGAAGCCCCGGUAAACGGCGGCCGUAACUAUAACGGUCCUAAGGUAGCGAAAUUCCUUGUCGGGUAAGUUCCGACCUGCACGAAUGGCGUAACGAUGGCGGCGCUGUCUCCACCCGAGACUCAGUGAAAUUGAAAUCGCUGUGAAGAUGCAGUGUAUCCGCGGCUAGACGGAAAGACCCCGUGAACCUUUACUAUAGCUUUGCACUGGACUUUGAAUUUGCUUGUGUAGGAUAGGUGGGAGGCUUUGAAGUGGGGACGCCAGUUCUCAUGGAGCCAUCCUUGAAAUACCACCCUGGCAACUUUGAGGUUCUAACUCAGGUCCGUUAUCCGGAUCGAGGACAGUGUAUGGUGGGUAGUUUGACUGGGGCGGUCUCCUCCCAAAGAGUAACGGAGGAGUACGAAGGUGCGCUCAGACCGGUCGGAAAUCGGUCGUAGAGUAUAAAGGCAAAAGCGCGCUUGACUGCGAGACAAACACGUCGAGCAGGUACGAAAGUAGGUCUUAGUGAUCCGGUGGUUCUGUAUGGAAGGGCCAUCGCUCAACGGAUAAAAGGUACUCCGGGGAUAACAGGCUGAUACCGCCCAAGAGUUCAUAUCGACGGCGGUGUUUGGCACCUCGAUGUCGGCUCAUCACAUCCUGGGGCUGAAGCCGGUCCCAAGGGUAUGGCUGUUCGCCAUUUAAAGUGGUACGCGAGCUGGGUUUAGAACGUCGUGAGACAGUUCGGUCCCUAUCUGCCGUGGACGUUUGAGAUUUGAGAGGGGCUGCUCCUAGUACGAGAGGACCGGAGUGGACGAACCUCUGGUGUUCCGGUUGUCACGCCAGUGGCAUUGCCGGGUAGCUAUGUUCGGAAGAGAUAACCGCUGAAAGCAUCUAAGCGGGAAACUUGCCUCAAGAUGAGAUCUCACUGGGAUCUUGAAUCCCCUGAAGGGCCGUCGAAGACUACGACGUUGAUAGGUUGGGUGUGUAAGCGCUGUGAGGCGUUGAGCUAACCAAUACUAAUUGCCCGUGAGGCUUGACCAU
This 1366-nucleotide ribosomal RNA is filed under the name Pseudomonas putida. Its description in RNAcentral is "partial 23S ribosomal RNA". It matches the Rfam family "Bacterial large subunit ribosomal RNA", at positions 1580 to 2925 of the family's 2925-position model. Lineage: Bacteria; Pseudomonadati; Pseudomonadota; Gammaproteobacteria; Pseudomonadales; Pseudomonadaceae. RNAcentral also lists the same sequence under 4 other names. The record is from RNAcentral.